GAUGAACGCUGGCGGCGUGCCUAAUACAUGCAAGUCGAGCGAACAGAUGAGGAGCUUGCUCCUCUGACGUUAUCGGCGGACGGGUGAGUAACACGUGGAUAACCUACCUAUAAGACUGGGAUAACUUCGGGAAACCGGAGCUAAUACCGGAUAAUAUAUUGAACCGCAUGGUUCAAUAGUGAAAGACGGUUUUGCUGUCACUUAUAGAUGGAUCCGCGCCGCAUUAGCUAGUUGGUAAGGUAACGGCUUACCAAGGCAACGAUGCGUAGCCGACCUGAGAGGGUGAUCGGACACACUGGAACUGAGACACGGUCCAGACUCCUACGGGAGGCAGCAGUAGGGAAUCUUCCGCAAUGGGCGAAAGCCUGACGGAGCAACGCCGCGUGAGUGAUGAAGGUCUUCGGAUCGUAAAACUCUGUUAUUAGGGAAGAACAAAUGUGUAAGUAACUAUGCACGUCUUGACGGUACCUAAUCAGAAAGCCACGGCUAACUACGUG
RNAcentral lists this ribosomal RNA (497 nucleotides) under uncultured bacterium. RNAcentral describes it as "partial 16S ribosomal RNA". It matches the Rfam family "Bacterial small subunit ribosomal RNA", at positions 28 to 507 of the family's 1533-position model. The record is from RNAcentral.